GUUUUACUUUAAAGCGCUAAUUUAACUAACAUUGAGAUUAUUAGUCAAGGCACCGCUUAAAACAUUAACUUUAGGCCCCUAACUUUUUCAAGACCACUUCCUUUGAAUUUUUAAACUAUCUAUACUUAAGUACCGUAAGGGAUUGUUUAUUUAUAAAAAUAUUCCUACCUUUAGUAUCAGGGGGGCUUAAACUAAUCUCAAGGAGAUAUCCCGAACAGUUUAGAGCUGCUCGAAGUAACUUAUCUAAGUGUCAAAUUAGUUUUUAAACUCGAAGCAGAUGUGAUAUGUAAAACAAUAAACCUAUAUCUGGUUGGGGUUAUAUUUAUUCAAUAAAGCCUUUUUCUUAUUCUAGAAAAAGAUAUAAAUCCUCAAGGAUAACCUUGAAGUAUCAUGUAAUUAAUAAUAUGCACUUUUGUAGGGAUAAAACCCGAACUAAUUAUAUAUAAAUAGCUCACUUUUAAAACCCUUACCUUAAAUAUAUCCAACAAGUUAAUAAUAAGCCUAUUAGUAACUUAAAUAAAUAAGAUAAAUUGUAAACACUUAAAAAACAAUUUUAUAAAUUACCAAGGAACUCGGCAAACUACGUCUCCGCCCGUUUAUCAAAAACACCGCCGAUAAAUAAAUUAUCGGUAUAUCUGCCCAGUGAAUCUUCAACGGCCGCAGUAUUCCUAACUGUGCUAAGGUAGCAUAAUAAUUAGUUUUUUAAUUGAAAACUCGAAUGAAAGAAUCGACGAGAGACUUUCUGUCUCGGUAAUUCUAAUAACUUACUACAAGGGUAAAAAAGCCUUUAUAUUUUAAUGGGACGACAAGACCCUAUAAAACUUUACUCUUCCUCUUGCGCACCUUAAUCCAUCCCAAGAUACGAGUUAUGCUGGGGCGGCAUUUUUUAAUCUAAACAAUUAUUCACUACAACAUAAUCUAUGAUAUUAAUAAACCCCCGUAAGUAAUAAAGAACAAGUUACUUUAGGGAUAACAGCGUAAUAUUUCUUUAGAGCCCUUAUCGACAGAAAUGAUUUCGACCUCGAUGUUGAAUUGAAGCCUCUCUGCGGAGCAGCCUCUGCAACGGAAAGUCUGUUCGACUUUUAAACCUUCACAUGAUUUGAGUUCAGACCGGCGUAAGCCAGGUUAGUUUCUAUCUAUUAUAAUGUAUUAAGUAUAGAUUGUACGAAAGGACCUCUAUUAUUAAGAUAAUACUUAAAGUUAGAAUAAAAUUAAUCAAAAAUUAAG
RNAcentral lists this ribosomal RNA (1227 nucleotides) under Sphaeroma terebrans. RNAcentral describes it as "16S ribosomal RNA". The stretch from base 792 to 1146 matches the Rfam family "Archaeal large subunit ribosomal RNA", at positions 2146 to 2720 of the family's 2987-position model. Lineage: Eukaryota; Metazoa; Arthropoda; Malacostraca; Isopoda; Sphaeromatidae. The record is from RNAcentral.